Non-coding RNA from Trichobilharzia regenti, 49 nucleotides. The record is from Rfam. NCBI's taxonomy places the organism in Eukaryota, Metazoa, Platyhelminthes, Trematoda, Strigeidida, Schistosomatidae.
AUCCAAAUGACGAGUCCCAAAUAGGACGAAAUGCGCAUCCUGACUGGAU